CGUGGGUAACCUGCCCAAGAGAUCGGGACAACACCUGGAAACAGAUGCUAAUACCGGAUAACAACAGAUGAUGCCUAUCAACUGUUUAAAAGAUGGUUCUGCUAUCACUCUUGGAUGGACCUGCGGUGCAUUAGCUAGUUGGUAGGGUAACGGCCUACCAAGGCGAUGAUGCAUAGCCGAGUUGAGAGACUGAUCGGCCACAUUGGGACUGAGACACGGCCCAAACUCCUACGGGAGGCAGCAGUU
Molecule: ribosomal RNA, 246 nt
Filed under: uncultured Lactobacillus sp.
Lineage: Bacteria; Bacillati; Bacillota; Bacilli; Lactobacillales; Lactobacillaceae
Description: partial 16S ribosomal RNA
Rfam family: Bacterial small subunit ribosomal RNA
Source: RNAcentral